Molecule: long non-coding RNA, 302 nt
Filed under: Mytilus galloprovincialis (Mediterranean mussel)
Lineage: Eukaryota; Metazoa; Mollusca; Bivalvia; Mytilida; Mytilidae
Source: RNAcentral
UUUUAUUGAUGUUUUCGAAUAAGCUGUACAUAAACUAAAUAAUUGUAAAAUUUAAGCGAUUUCUGUAAUUUUGUUCUUUUUUUAUUUCGAUAUUACCGCUAUUUCUCCUAUUAGUUCAACAGAAAAAAAGGACAUUAACAAAAAUGUAUGCUUCUUUUGAAGGCAGAUUGUGAGCGUAAAUGAACGGUGACCCCAUUUUUUCUAUUUCAUUUUUCUAUUAAGUAUAAGAUAAAGUUCAUUUAUAAAAAAAUAUAGAGAAAUCAUAUAUUAAAUAAAACAAAAUGAUUUAGACCCGCGAGCCC